RNAcentral lists this ribosomal RNA (682 nucleotides) under uncultured beta proteobacterium. RNAcentral's name for it is "bacterial SSU rRNA". It matches the Rfam family "Bacterial small subunit ribosomal RNA", at positions 49 to 724 of the family's 1533-position model. Lineage: Bacteria; Pseudomonadati; Pseudomonadota; Betaproteobacteria. The record is from RNAcentral.
UUACACAUGCAAGUCGAACGGCAGCACGGGUGCUUGCACCUGGUGGCGAGUGGCGAACGGGUGAGUAAUACAUCGGAACAUGUCCUGUAGUGGGGGAUAGCCCGGCGAAAGCCGGAUUAAUACCGCAUACGAUCUACGGAUGAAAGCGGGGGACCUUCGGGCCUCGCGCUAUAGGGUUGGCCGAUGGCUGAUUAGCUAGUUGGUGGGGUAAAGGCCUACCAAGGCGACGAUCAGUAGCUGGUCUGAGAGGACGACCAGCCACACUGGGACUGAGACACGGCCCAGACUCCUACGGGAGGCAGCAGUGAGGAAUUUUGGACAAUGGGCGAAAGCCUGAUCCAGCAAUGCCGCGUGUGUGGAGAAGGCCUUCGGGUUGUAAAGCACUUUUGUCCGGAAAGAAAUCCUUGGUUCUAAUAUAGCCGGGGGAUGACGGUACCGGAAGAAUAAGCACCGGCUAACUACGUGCCAGCAGCCGCGGUAAUACGUAGGGUGCGAGCGUUAAUCGGAAUUACUGGGCGUAAAGCGUGCGCAGGCGGUUUGCUAAGACCGAUGUGAAAUCCCCGGGCUCAACCUGGGAACUGCAUUGGUGACUGGCAGGCUAGAGUAUGGCAGAGGGGGGUAGAAUUCCACGUGUAGCAGUGAAAUGCGUAGAGAUGUGGAGGAAUACCGAUGGCGAAGGCAG